Molecule: long non-coding RNA, 998 nt
Organism: Canis lupus familiaris (dog)
Lineage: Eukaryota; Metazoa; Chordata; Mammalia; Carnivora; Canidae
Exons: 4
Source: RefSeq, a predicted model, not a curated record
UCUUUGAGACCCCAGGCAGGGAAGGGGCCUGUCCUCCCUCCAGGGUCACUUCCUUUCCUCAGUGGGGCUCUCAGUCUGAGCCAUCUGGUCUGCACAGCUCCUCCCAAAGGACCCUCAGACUCAGUCCAGAUGUGAGGCAUGGGGAAGAAGGGACACGUUUUCCUACCUGCCCCAUAGUUUAACAGAACUGCUCCUGCCCACAAAGUUGGUUUCUUUGGGAUGGAGUGCCCAAGGCUUGUGAUUAGAAACAGCUGCAGAAACAAGAGGAAAACAUCUUCUAAAAAUAAGUAGCGCCUUGGAACACAGUGUGCCAGGACUUGUAGGAGGUGGAUGGGGAUGUGAGAUCUAGAGCGGCCACAAGGAGAGCUCUCAUUCUCACACACAAGGUGACUGUUUCUGUUGUCAGCUGCUCCCAGGAGGCUCUGUGAAUUUGAUCUCGGGACCAGGGGCAGAAAAAUUGGACUCAUCCUUCCACUAAGGAAUGUGAAGACUUCCUUCAGGAGUUCAAACUGCUUCUAAGCGAUACCCAUCGAGAGACAUCACUACUACUGUGACUCUUUCAGUUGUCUCCAUUGGGGAAGUCAGCUGUGAAGAUAACUCAGCAGAAGCAAAGGCUAAAGGAAAACAAAGACUAAUUCCAGUAUUUUCUCUGAGUGUAAGGAAAAAAGACCUGAAAAAAACCCAAUGACUGACCGAGUAGGAAUGAAUGGAAAGUAAGUUCUGGCACUCCAGCUUCAUGGAAUGAAAGGGUAAAAUAAUACGUGCCUAUGAUCAGGGAUGGAAGGGAAGAGAGAAUGACAGCAAUUGCAUCUUGGUGAGGUGAUAAAUGAUCCUCCUCCUUUCUUAAGCCUUUAAAAAUAUAUACAUUGUUUUGAGUGUGUGUUUCAAUGAAAAGAAAGAAGAUUUACAUUUCUGCUCAUCUCCAUAAAUAAAAAUCUUCUAAAUGUGAGAUCCUGUGAAAUUUGAGUUGAUUUAAUUCUGGUUUAGAAAUAAAAAAA